UGGGGAAUAUUGGACAAUGGGCGCAAGCCUGAUCCAGCAAUGCCGCGUGUGUGAAGAAGGCCUGCGGGUUGUAAAGCACUUUCGGUUGGGAAGAAGCUUUGUUGGUUAACACCCAAUUAAGUUGACACUACCUUCAGAAGAAGCACCGGCUAACUCCGUGCCAGCAGCCGCGGUAAUACGGAGGGUGCGAGCGUUAAUCGGAAUUACUGGGCGUAAAGCGCGCGUAGGCGGUUGUGUAAGUCGGAUGUGAAAGCCCUGGGCCUAACCUAGGAACUGCAUUCGAUACUGCACGGCUAGAGUAUGGUAGAGGAAAGCGGAGUUCCCGGUGUAGCGGUGAAAUGCGUAGAUAUCGGGAGGAACAUCAGUGGCGAAGGCGGCUUUCUGGACCAAUACUGACGCUGAGGUGCGAAAGCGUGGGUAGCAAACAGG
Molecule: ribosomal RNA, 429 nt
Filed under: uncultured bacterium
Lineage: Bacteria
Description: bacterial SSU rRNA
Rfam family: Bacterial small subunit ribosomal RNA
Source: RNAcentral